Molecule: ribosomal RNA, 521 nt
Filed under: Escherichia coli
Lineage: Bacteria; Pseudomonadati; Pseudomonadota; Gammaproteobacteria; Enterobacterales; Enterobacteriaceae
Description: bacterial SSU rRNA
Rfam family: Bacterial small subunit ribosomal RNA
Source: RNAcentral
AUAACGUCGCAAGACCAAAGAGGGGGACCUUCGGGCCUCUUGCCAUCGGAUGUGCCCAGAUGGGAUUAGCUAGUAGGUGGGGUAAAGGCUCACCUAGGCGACGAUCCCUAGCUGGUCUGAGAGGAUGACCAGCCACACUGGAACUGAGACACGGUCCAGACUCCUACGGGAGGCAGCAGUGGGGAAUAUUGCACAAUGGGCGCAAGCCUGAUGCAGCCAUGCCGCGUGUAUGAAGAAGGCCUUCGGGUUGUAAAGUACUUUCAGCGGGGAGGAAGGGAGUAAAGUUAAUACCUUUGCUCAUUGACGUUACCCGCAGAAGAAGCACCGGCUAACUCCGUGCCAGCAGCCGCGGUAAUACGGAGGGUGCAAGCGUUAAUCGGAAUUACUGGGCGUAAAGCGCACGCAGGCGGUUUGUUAAGUCAGAUGUGAAAUCCCCGGGCUCAACCUGGGAACUGCAUCUGAUACUGGCAAGCUUGAGUCUCGUAGAGGGGGGUAGAAUUCCAGGUGUAGCGGUGAAAUGC